RNAcentral lists this ribosomal RNA (253 nucleotides) under uncultured bacterium. RNAcentral describes it as "partial 16S ribosomal RNA". It matches the Rfam family "Bacterial small subunit ribosomal RNA", at positions 524 to 776 of the family's 1533-position model. The record is from RNAcentral.
UACGUAGGGGGCAAGCGUUGUCCGGAAUUAUUGGGCGUAAAGAGCGUGUAGGCGGCCAGGUAGGUCUGCUGUGAAAACUCGAGGCUUAACCUCGAGCUGUCGGCGGAAACCAUCUGGCUAGAGUCCGGAAGAGGAGAAUGGAAUUCCCGGUGUAGCGGUGAAAUGCGCAGAUAUCGGGAAGAACACCCGUGGCGAAGGCGGCUCUCUGGAACGCAACUGACGCUGAGACGCGAAAGCGUGGGGAGCAAACAGG